GAUGAAGAACGCAGCGAAAUGCGAUACGUAGUGUGAAUUGCAGAAUUCAGUGAAUCAUCGAAUCUUUGAACGCACAUUGCACCUCUCGGUAUUCCGGGAGGUAUGCCUGUUCGAGCGUCAUUUCAACCCUCAAGCACAGCUUGGUGUUGGGACUCGCGUUAAUUCGCGUUCCUCAAAUUGAUUGGCGGUCACGUCGAGCUUCCAUAGCGUAGUAGUAAAACCCUCGUUACUGGUAAUCGUCGCGGCCACGCCGUUAAACCCCAACUUCUGAAUGUUGACCUCGGAUCAGGUAGGAAUACCCGCUGAACUUAAGCAUAUCAAUAAGCGGAGGA
This 332-nucleotide unclassified non-coding RNA is filed under the name soil metagenome. RNAcentral describes it as "partial contains 5.8S ribosomal RNA, internal transcribed spacer 2, and large subunit ribosomal RNA". The stretch from base 1 to 120 matches the Rfam family "5.8S ribosomal RNA", at positions 35 to 154 of the family's 154-position model. The record is from RNAcentral.